GACGAACGCUGGCGGCGUGCUUAACACAUGCAAGUCGAACGGAAAGGCCCUGCUUUUGUGGGGUGCUCGAGUGGCGAACGGGUGAGUAACACGUGAGUAACCUGCCCUUGACUUUGGGAUAACUUCAGGAAACUGGGGCUAAUACCGGAUAGGAGCUCCUGCUGCAUGGUGGGGGUUGGAAAGUUUCGGCGGUUGGGGAUGGACUCGCGGCUUAUCAGCUUGUUGGUGGGGUAGUGGCUUACCAAGGCUUUGACGGGUAGCCGGCCUGGACGGGUGACCGGCCACGACAGAACUGAGGAACGACCGAGACUCCUACGGGAGGCAGCAGUGGGGAAGAUUGCACAAUGGUCGGAGACCUGAUGCAGCAACGCCGCGUGCGGGAUGACGGCCUUCGGGUUGUAAACCGCUUUCGCCUGUGACGAAGCGUGAGUGACGGUAAUGGGUAAAGAAGCACCGGCUAACUACGUG
This 468-nucleotide ribosomal RNA is filed under the name uncultured bacterium. RNAcentral describes it as "partial 16S ribosomal RNA". It matches the Rfam family "Bacterial small subunit ribosomal RNA", at positions 28 to 507 of the family's 1533-position model. The record is from RNAcentral.